CAGCCGCCGCGGUAAUACGAAGGGGGCUAGCGUUGCUCGGAAUGACUGGGCGUAAAGGGCGCGUAGGCGGAUUGUUUAGUUAGGCGUGAAAUUCCUGGGCUUAACCUGGGAACUGCAUCUUAUACUGCCUAGCUGGAGUGCAGUAGAGGGUAGUGGAAUUUCCGGUGUAGCGGUGAAAUGCGUAGAUAUCGGAAGGAACACCAGUGGCGAAGGCGGCUACCUGGACUGACACUGACACUGAGGCGCGAAAGCGUGGGGAGCAAACAGGAUUAGAUACCCCCGUAGUCCCUGUCUCUUAUAC
Molecule: ribosomal RNA, 301 nt
Filed under: uncultured bacterium
Lineage: Bacteria
Description: partial 16S ribosomal RNA
Rfam family: Bacterial small subunit ribosomal RNA
Source: RNAcentral